CACGUAGGGCGCAAGCGUUGUCCGGAAUUAUUGGGCGUAAAGAGCUCGUAGGUGGUUUGUUACGUCCGCUGUGAAAUCCUAGGGCUUAACCCUGGGCUUGCAGUGGAUACGGGCAGACUAGAGGUAGGUAGGGGAGAAUGGAAUUCCUGGUGUAGCGGUGAAAUGCGCAGAUAUCAGGAGGAACACCGGUGGCGAAGGCGGUUCUCUGGGCCUUACCUGACGCUCAGGUGCGAAAGCUAGGGGAGCGAACAGG
Molecule: ribosomal RNA, 253 nt
Filed under: uncultured bacterium
Lineage: Bacteria
Description: partial 16S ribosomal RNA
Rfam family: Bacterial small subunit ribosomal RNA
Source: RNAcentral